This is a long non-coding RNA of Papaver somniferum (opium poppy), 2013 nucleotides long. RefSeq lists it as uncharacterized. The record is from RefSeq and is a predicted model, not a curated record. NCBI's taxonomy places the organism in Eukaryota, Viridiplantae, Streptophyta, Magnoliopsida, Ranunculales, Papaveraceae. The transcript has 6 exons.
AUGAAAUUUCAGGAAUGUGCUCGACCGAACACCCAUCGUUCCCUCUCCCCCAUACCCUACCCUCGAUUAGUUCUUCCUAUUAGUCAUGGGAAUGUUCGCCGCGAUUUUGAGUCUUCAUUUUGUUCGAUCGUAACUGCAAAACUCAAAUUAGUUCUCAGAUCAAUCGGUGCUGUAAAUCUGAUAUUAACGAAACCCAAUUGGGGAUGUCAAAAGUCAGGGAGGAAUUUUAAGAAUUUGUGGAGGAGCGAUGGGGUUUACAUUAAACAAAUCUUCUGUUAAAUUGUUGAAGAAUGGUUGAAAACGUAACAAAGUUUCUUAGCUCCAUCCGGGAUUGCUUUGCACGACUGACUACCAUGUUCCCUUUGUAAGUUUCGAUUUACAUCUUUUUAACACAUGAUUUCCAUCAAAUUUAGUUUUUUCGUUUUGCACAUUACCAGUGUGCACCCUCAUUUCCGGGUCGGUGUUACGGCGUCGCUGUUGGACUUCUAAGCAGUAUUAGUGUGUUUAUAAGCUGUUGGUGUUUUUAUGUAAGAUGUUGAGACCGAAGCAGUUGAUUCAGUGGGAAGAAGGGAAACAUAGAUAAAUACUCAUCUAACGGUUAACCAGACAUCGUUUUCUCCUUCCCUGCUUCGCAAGUAACGUCGCACCCUCAUAACAUGUACCCUAUGUAGUUUUAUAUUCUCUUUCACAUCAAAUUUGUUGGGUUUUGUUUUCGUUAUUUUCUCAUCAGCUCCCUAACGAUGGGUUUUGUUCUCUGCAAAAUUUAGUGCAUGCCCACUUUAAGAAGACCCAUUCUAAUAUCCGUUCUAAUAAUCCUCAGUAAAGUGACCAGUAGAUCUUACUAUCCAUAUCUUGCUCUGUGUGAAGUGUAAAAUCUUAAUUUUAGUUGGUACGUCACAACCAUAUAUUCCAUGUCUUUCUUUGGCUUCAAAUGUUCAUGCCUUCUUAGGUGACCCUUUCCAUUGAGAAUUUGUUGUUUCCACUGACUUUUCGAGAGAGAUGCUGGGGAAAAUUGAUGCAUAUUAAUCUGUGGAGAAAGACUUUGUCAGAUUGAUUUAUUUCUUUGCUAUCUGAAAGACGAGCAAUCCGUGAAUUCUCAUCUUAUGCAGUGAUCAUCUACAGAGAGAGAUAAGAAAAGGGUUUAGGCAUGGUUUCUCAAAUAUAACUUGCGGGAAAGAGUUUGCACAUUGCUGUGACAUUUUUUUGAGGCUUGAGCUGUUAUCGCAUCAUUAUAAGUGGACCUUAUUAUCACUGCAUCAUUCUAUCCAUGAAUUUCUCCAGGUAACAUCUUGAUGAGAGUUGAAUUAAAAAUACGUUGUUGUGGUGUUGAGAAAGUUCAAAUGAAAAUCAUUAGCAUUUGACAUCUCCGUCGUUGCAAGAAGGCUUUCCUCCCUGUCAACUUCAUAAGGUGGACCAGGUAGAAGGAAACUUUAGCUUUGGUGUGCUGCAUAAAAAUAUGGUGCUGGAUCAAGCUGGAGAAAUGGUAGUGGAGUCGUUACACAGACCGGUUUGGAUUAGGUGGUUGCUUCCUAAAGUAUCUUUUAUAGCAUGUUUAGUUUAUCGACGCUUCAGCAUAUUUAAUCUAUGAUUCCUAUGGAAGUGAGAUACAUUGUCGGCUUUCUUCGAUUAUUUGGAAUUUCUUCAUUUAGUCUUUGCCAUUAACUGGGUGCUUCGGAGGGAUGUUCAAACUCAGUUGGAAGGCUGGAGCUACAUUAAUUUCCAAAAUGAUGGAUCAGUUGGUUCAAAGGUUACGCGUGUAGUAAUUUGGGAGCUAUGGGAAGAACCCAAGGACCCAGUGCUAGAUCCCGUUGGCAGGGGAAGCAAGAACAAGGAUUGCCAAUACAACCGUUUCUUAUGCUCUGUUGCUCUGAUGAAGACUUAUUUAGGGAUACUCACUUCCGCAAAAAAAAAUAAAAAAAUAAACAAAAUACGUAAGAAACUGGGAUGAUGUAAUCUUUUAUAUUGUAACUGAAGAGUGCAUAAAUUAUUUUAUGGAAAUUACAUCCAAAAUCA